This 472-nucleotide ribosomal RNA is filed under the name uncultured bacterium. RNAcentral's name for it is "bacterial SSU rRNA". It matches the Rfam family "Bacterial small subunit ribosomal RNA", at positions 355 to 825 of the family's 1533-position model. The record is from RNAcentral.
UGGGGAAUUUUGGACAAUGGGCGCAAGCCUGAUCCAGCCAUACCGCGUGUGUGAAGAAGGCCUGCGGGUUGUAAAGCACUUUAGUUGGGGAGGAAAGGUAUGUACUGCAUAAGUGCAUGCUGUGACGUUACCCAAAGAAUAAGCACCGGCAAACUCUGUGCCAGCAGCCGCGGUAAUACAGAGGGUGCAAGCGUUAAUCGGACUUACUGGGCGUAAAGGGUGCGUAGGUGGUUUGUUAAGUUGGAUGUGAAAUCCCCGGGCUCAACCUGGGAACUGCAUUCAAAACUGACUGACUAGAGUAUGGUAGAGGGUGGUGGAAUUUCCUGUGUAGCGGUGAAAUGCGUAGAUAUCAAGAGGAACACCUGAGGUGAAGACGGGUUGCUGGGCUGACACUGACGCUGAGGCGCGAAAGCCAGGGGAGCAAACGGGAUUAGAUACCCAAGUAGUCCCUGAGCGGGCUGGCAAGGCGCAU